CCUACGGGUGGCAGCAGUGAGGAAUUUUGGUCAAUGGGCGCGAGCCUGAACCAGCCAAGUCGCGUGAGGGAUGAAGGUUCUAUGGAUCGUAAACCUCUUUUAUAAGGGAAUAAAGUGUGGGACGUGUCCUAUUUUGUAUGUACCUUAUGAAUAAGGAUCGGCUAACUCCGUGCCAGCAGCCGCGGUAAUACGGAGGAUCCGAGCGUUAUCCGGAUUUCUUGGGUUUAAAGGGUGCGUAGGCGGCCUUUUAAGUCAGCGGUGAAAGUCGGUGGCUCAACCAUAGAAUUGCCGUUGAAACUGGGUGGCUUGAGUAUGUUUGAGGCAGGCGGAAUGCGUGGGGUAGCGGUGAAAGGCUUAGAUAUCACGCAGAACCCCAAUUGCGAAGGCAGCCUGCCAAGCCAUGACUGACGCUGAUGCACGAAAGCGUGGGUAGCAAACAGGAUUAGAUACCCUUGUAGUC
This 460-nucleotide ribosomal RNA is filed under the name uncultured bacterium. RNAcentral's name for it is "partial 16S ribosomal RNA". It matches the Rfam family "Bacterial small subunit ribosomal RNA", at positions 338 to 795 of the family's 1533-position model. The record is from RNAcentral.